GACGUAGGGCGCGAGCGUUGUCCGGAUUUAUUGGGCGUAAAGAGCUCGUAGGCGGCUUGUUGCGUCAGCUGUGAAAACCCGCAGCUCAACUGUGGGCUUGCAGCUGAUACGGGCAGGCUUGAGUUCGGUAGGGGAGACUGGAAUUCCAGGUGUAGCGGUGAAAUGCGUAGAUAUCUGGAGGAACACCGGUGGCGAAGGCGGCGUUCUGGACUGCUACUGACACUGAGGAACGAAAGCCAGGGGAGCAAACGGG
RNAcentral lists this ribosomal RNA (253 nucleotides) under uncultured bacterium. RNAcentral's name for it is "partial 16S ribosomal RNA". It matches the Rfam family "Bacterial small subunit ribosomal RNA", at positions 524 to 776 of the family's 1533-position model. The record is from RNAcentral.